This 77-nucleotide transfer RNA is filed under the name Salifodinibacter halophilus. Its description in RNAcentral is "tRNA-Ala". It matches the Rfam family "tRNA". Rfam says of the family: Transfer RNA (tRNA) molecules are approximately 80 nucleotides in length. Their secondary structure includes four short double-helical elements and three loops (D, anti-codon, and T loops). Lineage: Bacteria; Pseudomonadati; Pseudomonadota; Gammaproteobacteria; Salinisphaerales; Salinisphaeraceae. The record is from RNAcentral.
GGGGCCGUAGCUCAGUUAGGGAGAGCGUCGCGUUCGCAACGCGAAGGUCGCCGGUUCGAUCCCGGCCGGCUCCACCA